This 829-nucleotide long non-coding RNA is filed under the name Solanum tuberosum (potato). RNAcentral's name for it is "long non-coding RNA (STUB_LNC003257)". The record is from RNAcentral. Lineage: Eukaryota; Viridiplantae; Streptophyta; Magnoliopsida; Solanales; Solanaceae.
AAAAGUUAAAAAGAAUCAAGUUUAUUUCUAUUAUAACUUGUUUCUGACAUUCAAAUCUAAAAGCAUUCCUUUUCCUGAGUCACUUCCACAAGGAAAUUCUCACUGUCACAAGUAUAGUAAAUGGAACAAAGUAAUUGGAUAAACCGAACAUGUACACCAAUAGCUACUUUGGACAUUCAACAUGGUUAAUUUACACAACAAUAACUUUGCUACAUUUCUAAUAAUAAGGAAUUCAGCAAAACAACUUCAUGUUGAUGGAAUCCUGGAGAUAUCUACCAGUAUCCUAUGUAGGCCUUGAGGCUUGGAGAAAAAAGGCGAGUGAUCAGCACCCUUAAGAUGAAAAACUUGUUCUGGAGGAUUAUUACUAAUUAGGUUUUGCUGUAAGGCUAUUGGUAUCGCAUUAUCUUCCGUUGUUUCUAUAUAAAACCGCCUAACAGAGCCAUACUUGGAGUCGGUAAGACAAAGCUUCUCCAAAACUGGGGAAAAGGGAAUCGGCCUCAUUGAGACAGAUGCUAAUGCAACAUCCUGCAUAGAAAUUUAAAUGGUAAGAGGAGAAAGCUUGGAAUAUCCACAAAUGGCAAUUUCCCCAAAGGUAUACAGACAGAUUUUGUAAGUAAAGACACCAGUUAUCCAUUUCAAAACCCACAAAAAGAAUAUCAAUUUUAAGUCUUUCCCUUGCUUCUAUAAUAAACCAACAAUUAGCAAUUCAUAUGACAGGUUUAGGGCAUCCAAUGAAUGGUCAAUUAAUACCAAGAUAUAGGUGAUACCAAGUAAACAUUAGAUAAGACUCUUUAUUUUACUCUGCUAUGUUUUGCAUUGUCCGACAGAG